GCAUCUGCUUGUUGUUGGGUGAUGGAAUCAGGUUGGAGGUGAAAAAAAUGAGGCGCCAUGCAGUGAUAAGCUUCCCUUCGAUCCUUCGGAGCCAUGGCCAGACUAGAAGAAAAAUUAAAAAAUUUUAUCUCCUGAAGAACUGGGGAGAUUCUUUUAAAGGUGAAACGUCUCAUCUUUAGGUACUCGGGACCCAUGAGCAGUUUCUUCCAUUGUGUUCAACUGUAAAUCAAGACCACUUGCUUUGAGCACCAAGAAGGAAGUUAUGAUUUAUACCUUUAGGAUAUGCACAUAUUCUUUUUCUUUUCCCUGUGGUAUUCGAAAGUGGAAUGUUGCAUCCUAAAUAGACUUGGUUUGUACAUAUUUCUGAUUAUUUCUUUAUUUGGAGUGCAUCUAGCUUAGUGUUUUCACAUCUGUUUUUAACACCUCAGUUUCAGUAAUCCUUUGUAUUGUUAGCUAGCAAUUUUUGCAGCUGACUUAAUCAAAGCAAACUUUUUUUUUAUGUAAUCCUACUUGUUCAGUUUUCCAGUUCAUUAAAAUUUUUUCAAUUUGAUGAAUCUUUCAUGUAUGUAUUCUUGAAACUUUUAAGGAGGAAAAAGUAGGUGGUGUGUAACUUCCAGGUGCUUGCUUUAGAGGUGCUUCAAACGAAAGCACUUUAAUCAUGUCAAUAACUGCAAAUGAACUGUAUUUUAAGAUAAUAAAGCAAUUAAAAAUUUGGGAAUAUUUGAUGGUAUUCAGGAACUAUUUUUAAAUUUUCAGAUGGGGGUAUAGGUAUUUUAGUUAAAAAGCAAGUAUAAUUGUAGAUACAUGCUGAAAUAUAUACAGAUAUAAUAAAGGGAAAGGAGAAAAGAACUAGGCAAAGUAAUAGAAAUUUCAUAAGUUACAAAUUUUAGGAAAAGUAUGAUGAGUAAGGAUAGCAAAUUCUGAGUCCAUUGCUAAAGUAAGCAUUCAAGUGAAGGAACAUUUCUGAAAUUCCCCUAUGAUGUUUAUUUUAAGUUUGCUUGGGUAAUGAUGAAUAUUCAUCAAGUUUUGUUAUUUUGGCUUUAAGUAUGAUAUUGCCCAACUAUCAGUUUACUUUCUCUUUCACUCAUCUUUAAACUGGUUUGCUGACAAUGAUACAUUUUUUUAAAGUGAAAGAGCAUUUUGUCAGGUUGUUGAGAUGAAUAUUAGGCUGGUGCAAUAAAGAAAUCCAGUUGAUAUACAAUAUUAAUAUGUCAAGAUUUCACUGUGGUAUUUUUAAUGGUAUAGAAAUGAGAAAGAAAGUUGGG
This is a long non-coding RNA of Pipistrellus kuhlii (Kuhl's pipistrelle), 1265 nucleotides long. RefSeq lists it as uncharacterized. The transcript is spliced from 5 exons. The record is from RefSeq and is a predicted model, not a curated record. Lineage: Eukaryota; Metazoa; Chordata; Mammalia; Chiroptera; Vespertilionidae.